UACGUAGGUGACCAGCGUUGUCCGGAUUUACUGGGCGUAAAGAGCGCGCAGGCGGUCGUUCAAGUCGAGUGUGAAAGCCCCCGGCUCAACUGGGGAGGGUCACUCGAUACUGAUCGACUUGAAGGCAGGAGAGGGAAGCGGAAUUCCCGGUGUAGCGGUGGAAUGCGUAGAGAUCGGGAAGAACAUCGGUGGCGAAGGCGGCCAGCUGGGCCAUUGCUGACGCUGAGGCGCGACAGCGUGGGGAGCAAACAGG
This 253-nucleotide ribosomal RNA is filed under the name uncultured bacterium. RNAcentral's name for it is "partial 16S ribosomal RNA". It matches the Rfam family "Bacterial small subunit ribosomal RNA", at positions 524 to 776 of the family's 1533-position model. The record is from RNAcentral.